RNAcentral lists this long non-coding RNA (1599 nucleotides) under Numida meleagris (helmeted guineafowl). RNAcentral describes it as "lncRNA (ENSNMEG00000017043.1)". Lineage: Eukaryota; Metazoa; Chordata; Aves; Galliformes; Numididae. The record is from RNAcentral.
AUUAUCAAACAGAGACCAAUUAAUUCAGUAAAGCUCUGAUUUCAAAAAGCACUUGAAUAUGUGGCUUUCUCUAAUCUCUAAAAUAUUUCUUGUCUGGCAAAGAAUGUAAAUACAGACAGCCUUAAGUAUGUGCUGAGAUACUCUAAGGUAAAGACCUCAACUGUGUAAAAAAUGGUAGCCAUACUGUAGCAGAAAAUGACGAUAUAAAGCAUUUCUCCAGGGCUGCCUGGCACUAAUGACUUUAAUACAGCAAGCUGAACAAACUUAUGUGGCAGCAGUGACUGUGAAGGAGGACUUUUAACUUGCCUACAAUAACUACCUUGCUAGGAGCUGAGCGUUUCAGUCAGUAUGAUGAAUAGAGAACAGGAGCCACUCGAAGACCAGCGCAUGGCGGUGGUGUGGAAAGCGGAUCUGGAUGGGGCAGGGUGCAGAGCGCGACCAUAGGAGAGCCUCUCUGGAAGCCCAACAGUGACCUUUUGAAGCACAUGCUGCCAGCAAAAACCUUGGCUGCACAGGGAAGGAUCUGCCAAGUUGGGACUUAGAAAUGCAGAAACCAUGAAAAGGCCAUGUGGAGACAUCUGGAGAGUUAAAUCUGGGUUGUGGUGGGAGCACUUACAACGUGUAGAACACUGGUCCAAGCAGUCAAGCAAGCUGCUCUAGCCAGACCUGGGACCUGAACUACAGGAUAUAUGCUGCCUCCCCUGCUCCUUGAUCCAGGAGCUCUGAACUGACUCAAAGCCGUGUUCAUGGGACUCAUGGCGAAGUUGAAGAUCCCAGCUGAGGGACAGAGGAGAUGCAAGUCCUGUGAAGAGAUUCUAACGUACCAGUUCAGGGCUUGCUCUAGAUACUUUCCACAAAGUCUUAGAAGCAGUGCCUGGACUACAUGGUCAAAGCCAGUGGAAUAAAACCCAAGAGAAAUCCAGAAGAAAUCACCCAUGCCCAGGUAGAAAGAAGGCAAUCAGCUCCCAAAGUAGUGUAUGUGUUGGGAAACUCUCCUGAGCCACGUGAGAAAUACGGGAGCCUUGAGUAAGAAGUGCUGAUCAGAAUUACUACUUACAGAGCUGUGUGUGUGCAAGUACAGUGAAGAUCUUCAAGUGCUGACCCCAAAGUGGUGGGGGUGACCUCUGUGUUGCAGCGGGCCGUGCCAGACAGCUGGAGGGAAGAUAUUUUUAAUGCAUCCCACAAAUGCAGUAUGUUGCUGCUGCUACAGUGGAAGAGAAGCGGGGGUGGACCCUGCAGACCCUGAGCUGUGUGUAUUGAUUGAGGAAGCAGGCUUCUUCCAUGCAUUCACAGAGCCUGGUUUAGCCUGAGCUGGGACUCAGAGACUGUGUCUUUCUUUCUCUGGUUAUGAUUUAUGACUUCAAUCCAAUUUAUGGCCAUUUACAAGAAUGCUGAACUGGCUGUAAAUCAGUAAGAGACCAUAAAAUACUCAUGAGAGCUGCUGAAAUCCAUCUGGGUGAGCUUCCUUCCCUCCCAAGAGCAGCCAGCUGAGGGCAGGAAGAUGUAGGCCUCCCAUCAAGCCUCGUAGCAGCAACAGGGGGUGGGGAUGAAAUGAAGCGCUUGACUGGAGGAAAAGGCAAAGGCAAAGGAGGCUUGUUC